CUGGUGGUGAGGCUGCAGCUCCCUGUUUAAGAACCAUGAGUGGUUGUGAGUGUUGCUUCUUCUCUCUGUUUCCACUAGGAAUGAGUGAAAGGUGAUGGUAGGGAUGAUUGAGUGGAAGGAAGGGAAUCCCUUCUGCAGAGAAUCAUGAAGUUUCACAGCAUCAAAGGGCAGGCUAUCUCUGCCAUAACUUGAAACUGUAGACCUGAGACAGAUGGAUUUCAUCUGCGCUGGAUGUGAAACAAAAGCAUAAGUGUAUGAAAGCAUCAGAGAGACUACAUAAUUCUCAUGGAGACUGCAAAGAGGAGGAUGCUUGCUUUGUUUAUUCAUCUUUGAGGUAAUCCCUUCCAGAACAAGAUACACUGCAUUUACCAUGGGAUUCUGUUUCAUUUCAAAC
Molecule: long non-coding RNA, 394 nt
Filed under: Coturnix japonica (Japanese quail)
Lineage: Eukaryota; Metazoa; Chordata; Aves; Galliformes; Phasianidae
Description: lncRNA (ENSCJPG00005011521.1)
Source: RNAcentral